AUACGGAGGGUGCAAGCGUUGUUCGGAAUCACUGGGCGUAAAGCGUGCGUAGGCCGUUGGAUAAGUCGGAUGUGAAAGCCCGGGGCUCAACCCCGGAACUGCAUUCGAUACUGUUCAACUCGAGUAUGGGAGAGGGAAGCGGAAUUCCUGGUGUAGCGGUGAAAUGCGUAGAUAUCAGGAGGAACACCCGUGGCGAAAGCGGCUUCCUGGCCCAUUACUGACGCUGAGGCACGAAAGCGUGGGGAGCAAACAGGAUUAGAAACCCCGGUAGUCC
Molecule: ribosomal RNA, 274 nt
Filed under: uncultured bacterium
Lineage: Bacteria
Description: partial 16S ribosomal RNA
Rfam family: Bacterial small subunit ribosomal RNA
Source: RNAcentral